CCCUAUGGCUCAGUUGGUAGAGCACGGUGUUUGCAACGCCAGGGUUGUGGGUUCGAUUCCCACGUGGGGC
Molecule: transfer RNA, 70 nt
Filed under: Salmo salar (Atlantic salmon)
Lineage: Eukaryota; Metazoa; Chordata; Actinopteri; Salmoniformes; Salmonidae
Rfam family: tRNA
About the family: Transfer RNA (tRNA) molecules are approximately 80 nucleotides in length. Their secondary structure includes four short double-helical elements and three loops (D, anti-codon, and T loops).
Source: Rfam by way of RNAcentral